This 354-nucleotide long non-coding RNA is filed under the name Elaeis guineensis (African oil palm). Its description in RNAcentral is "long non-coding RNA (EGUI_LNC063048)". Lineage: Eukaryota; Viridiplantae; Streptophyta; Magnoliopsida; Arecales; Arecaceae. The record is from RNAcentral.
AGAUCAGAAAACCAUAGUAUCCAUCUGGCUGAUGCGGUACUCUAUCGGAUCUCCUUAAUGGUGCCUCUACUGGCUCCGGAUUCGAUUCACCAAUCGAACCCAAUUCUAUAUGUGUUGGUCCUUCCACCUCAUGAACUUCAUCAAGUUCAAUUUUACAGACAUUAGCUCCUUCACCAAGAAACUCCUUUUCCAAAAAGACUGCUCAACUGCUGACAAACAUCUUUUAUUCUGCAGCAAGGUAGAAGUAGUACCUUUUAGUUUCCUUUGGGUACCCUAUGAACAAGCAUCUAUCGAACUUCAGUCCAAGCUUAUCUGUCUUUAAAUGCUUGACAUAAGCUGGACACCCCCAAACCC